Myotis lucifugus (little brown bat) is the source of this 75-nucleotide non-coding RNA. Lineage: Eukaryota; Metazoa; Chordata; Mammalia; Chiroptera; Vespertilionidae. The record is from Rfam.
GGAGGUUCUCAGGGGAUGCACCCUGGAAUCGGGCUCCCUCCUCUCUGGUUCCAGGUGCAUCACCCGAGAAGCGCA